AUUGUUUUAUAAAUGUUAAAUCCUAUUAACAGUAGCAAGUGGACCUGUGCGUCACCCAUAGUUAAAAGGAAAGAAAGCCUCCAGCAUCUCCACACAGAAACACGUCCCAAACGCAGCUGUUUGACAAGCAGUGAUGUGCAUUGUGAGGCUUUUCCUGUGUUCUUGAGAAGUAUCUGACAAGGGAAGCAAGCCCCGAAAAGUGGUUUUGCGUAUUCCUCUGGCUGCAGAGAGCAUGAGAGGACAGUUGGGAGCAUCUGCAGUGGUGAUGCCCACUGGUGGACUUUUCCCCAAUGAUUCGCAGUUGUCUCGUACUCAGGACUGACAGGAGAGUGAUCGCUUGCAGAAGGUCCUUCUUCCCUAUCGGUCGUGUAAGAGCCCAAACAAGACGACAACCACUGAGCCUGCUUCCAUUUGAGCCAGAGACGGAACAAGAAGACAAAAUUUGAAGCUGAAACCAAGGAAUGCAUUUAGAGCCUAAUGAAAACAUUUACUAUUUUCCCUUCUUCACACUACUACUUACACACUCAUCUUCAGCUGUGCACAGUGUUCCCUGCCAAAAACACGACUGUAUCCUUUGUGUUACUAAGGCAAGAGACAGAAAACAUCCCUGAGGCUCUGGCAGCACAGACUCUUUGAGACUGUCCCCACAGGCACAUUCCUAUUUCUGCUACAUGAACCCAUAGCUAUUUAUUCUGAAGAAGAGAAGUGGCAGGUGGCUGUGCCUACACCCCUGCACUUCUGUGCCACAGCACUGUUUGCGGUGUGUAAAGCAUGAGGAGGGACAGCAAGGAACCAGCCCCUUUGCCCAGGAGAAAUGCUUGUCACAACAGCACGCUGGGACUUGGAGGGGACCAGACAGCGGGUGAAGAAAAACAAACUUGGAGAACUGCUGACCUGUGCCUCCGAUGCAUCCAUUUUCUUCUGAGUCUCUGGAAAUUCUGUACUGGAACGACGAACAAUUUGGGGAAUCUGUCCAUUUGCCUGAACAGCACCUGUGACAAGGGGAGGAGACAGAAGGGAAAGAGUGUUACAAUUUCAUGAUCUUAACCAGAUGAGGGAAUAACAAACUAAGAAUAAGGCUAUGAAAACGUCUUUACAACUUCCAGCAAGGAACCACUCAUUACAGGUUUUAUACAUAAUUCAGUAAAAUCCAUGAGGAUGUCUGUCCUCUACUUCAGGUUUAUUUUGUGACUGGUCAAAUCAGUUCAUUACAUAAGGACAAUAAACAUAGUAUCUUGCAUUACAACUAAUACCUGUCCACAUGCCUCCAUGGUUGCAGCUGGCAAUCCUCCAGGCAGAGCAAGUGGCAGAAUUAUGAAGACAAAAGACAGAAAUGAUCAGAGUGUGUAAAGGUGUUGACAAAUGAAGAGCUUUUUCUUCUGACUGUGGGAAAUGGUGAUUACAGAAGACAACCGUAAAGGCUGACACGGGAGUAAAGAUGAGGAGCUAAGCAGAAUUCAAACUGGCAUAGUUAAGCCAACCCUCUGGCAUUCUGUUUAAAUACCUGUCUUUCAUACCAGCGUUUUGAAGUCUGUAGUGUGCUGUAAUAUUACUACAUUCUCAGUCUUAUUGCAUGUUUUUUCCUUUAGCCUAAAGACUAAAAGCACUAUAGUUUCAUAUCAAUAACAGUCACGAGAGCUGAAGGUUUGAAAUCCUAUAGGCAGGCUGAUCCAUUUUCCUUGGUAAAUGAGCUAAGAGCUCAGAAACUUCUCCCUCUACCUGAAACUGUGGAAGAUUUGUGAACCUCACUGUGUUCUCAGAUUAGUCUGGAUCUGCUGGCCGACUAAGUUAAAGCUCUGCAAAAUGUUUGCCCACCAUUACUGUGUUUGUGAUGGAUAUACAUAAAUAACCCAGUACUGCAAACGGAGUAAAUGAAUGUGAGACCAAAGGACAAAUUUGUGGGUUUAAUUUGGAAAAAAUCUACAGCCCCUGUACAGUCUGAUGAGGAUUAAAGAAAGUCUCCAGUUUAGUCUGGGGUUUUUGGAAGCUGCACAUGUCAAAGGAUAAUAGCAGAUAGUGUUUGGUGCCUAGAUACACACACUUGUAAACAUUAAUGACUGCCUUAGCUCUACUAUAAUUUACAGCUCUGAGAUCCAGUAAAGUUCCACUCAUGUACUUCUUGGAUGCUAGUGAGCCCUUAGCUGUCUACAAUGUAAGUCUAGGCACAAUGAUGGUUUUAAUCUCAACAUGUACUUUUCUGAUUAGCAAAAAGAUUUCAUGACUAUAAUAAAUAGAAUAAAUUAUUUUAAUUGCCAUGCUGGCAAAUCACACAUUUGACAGAGAAGUAAGACAAACUCUGCGGUGUAUUGAAUUUACUAGGACUAUUUAGGCUUCAAGGGAUGACAGCAGGUGGUCUGAAGUCCUUGUGUUUUAUGCCUCUGCCUGCAUGUUGUUCAGCAUAUUUAAUCCAAAGUACCAUUUUGAUCAUUGAAACUACAGCCUGUGUUUGUUGAAGGACUAACAUAGAAGUCCAAUAAAGAGCUAAAGC
Molecule: long non-coding RNA, 2488 nt
Organism: Columba livia (rock pigeon)
Lineage: Eukaryota; Metazoa; Chordata; Aves; Columbiformes; Columbidae
Exons: 3
Source: RefSeq, a predicted model, not a curated record